This 30-nucleotide non-coding RNA is filed under the name Homo sapiens (human). The record is from RNAcentral. Lineage: Eukaryota; Metazoa; Chordata; Mammalia; Primates; Hominidae.
UGCCAGCAAGCCAGUGGACGACCCUUCCAA